CACACUAUCAUUAACUGAAUCCAUAGGUUAAUGAGGCGAACCGGGGGAACUGAAACAUCUAAGUACCCCGAGGAAAAGAAAUCAACCGAGAUUCCCCCAGUAGCGGCGAGCGAACGGGGAGGAGCCCAGAGCCUGAAUCAGUGUGUGUGUUAGUGGAAGCGUCUGGAAAGGCGCGCGAUACAGGGUGACAGCCCCGUACACAAAAAUGCACAUAUUGUGAGCUCGAUGAGUAGGGCGGGACACGUGGUAUCCUGUCUGAAUAUGGGGGGACCAUCCUCCAAGGCUAAAUACUCCUGACUGACCGAUAGUGAACCAGUACCGUGAGGGAAAGGCGAAAAGAACCCCGGCGAGGGGAGUGAAAAAGAACCUGAAACCGUGUACGUACAAGCAGUGGGAGCCUCUUUAUGGGGUGACUGCGUACCUUUUGUAUAAUGGGUCAGCGACUUAUAUUCUGUAGCAAGGUUAACCGAAUAGGGGAGCCGAAGGGAAACCGAGUCUUAACUGGGCGUUAAGUUGCAGGGUAUAGACCCGAAACCCGGUGAUCUAGCCAUGGGCAGGUUGAAGGUUGGGUAACACUAACUGGAGGACCGAACCGACUAAUGUUGAAAAAUUAGCGGAUGACUUGUGGCUGGGGGUGAAAGGCCAAUCAAACCGGGAGAUAGCUGGUUCUCCCCGAAAGCUAUUUAGGUAGCGCCUCGUGAAUUCAUCUCCGGGGGUAGAGCACUGUUUCGGCAAGGGGGUCAUCCCGACUUACCAACCCGAUGCAAACUGCGAAUACCGGAGAAUGUUAUCACGGGAGACACACGGCGGGUGCUAACGUCCGUCGUGAAGAGGGAAACAACCCAGACCGCCAGCUAAGGUCCCAAAGUCAUGGUUAAGUGGGAAACGAUGUGGGAAGGCCCAGACAGCCAGGAUGUUGGCUUAGAAGCAGCCAUCAUUUAAAGAAAGCGUAAUAGCUCACUGGUCGAGUCGGCCUGCGCGGAAGAUGUAACGGGGCUAAACCAUGCACCGAAGCUGCGGCAGCGACACUAUGUGUUGUUGGGUAGGGGAGCGUUCUGUAAGCCUGUGAAGGUGGCCUGUGAGGGUUGCUGGAGGUAUCAGAAGUGCGAAUGCUGACAUAAGUAACGAUAAAGCGGGUGAAAAGCCCGCUCGCCGGAAGACCAAGGGUUCCUGUCCAACGUUAAUCGGGGCAGGGUGAGUCGACCCCUAAGGCGAGGCCGAAAGGCGUAGUCGAUGGGAAACAGGUUAAUAUUCCUGUACUUGGUGUUACUGCGAAGGGGGGACGGAGAAGGCUAUGUUGGCCGGGCGACGGUUGUCCCGGUUUAAGCGUGUAGGCUGGUUUUCCAGGCAAAUCCGGAAAACCAAGGCUGAGGCGUGAUGACGAGGCACUACGGUGCUGAAGCGACAAAUGCCCUGCUUCCAGGAAAAGCCUCUAAGCAUCAGGUAACAUCAAAUCGUACCCCAAACCGACACAGGUGGUCAGGUAGAGAAUACCAAGGCGCUUGAGAGAACUCGGGUGAAGGAACUAGGCAAAAUGGUGCCGUAACUUCGGGAGAAGGCACGCUGAUAUGUAGGUGAAGCGACUUGCUCGUGGAGCUGAAAUCAGUCGAAGAUACCAGCUGGCUGCAACUGUUUAUUAAAAACACAGCACUGUGCAAACACGAAAGUGGACGUAUACGGUGUGACGCCUGCCCGGUGCCGGAAGGUUAAUUGAUGGGGUUAGCGGUAACGCGAAGCUCUUGAUCGAAGCCCCGGUAAACGGCGGCCGUAACUAUAACGGUCCUAAGGUAGCGAAAUUCCUUGUCGGGUAAGUUCCGACCUGCACGAAUGGCGUAAUGAUGGCCAGGCUGUCUCCACCCGAGACUCAGUGAAAUUGAACUCGCUGUGAAGAUGCAGUGUACCCGCGGCAAGACGGAAAGACCCCGUGAACCUUUACUAUAGCUUGACACUGAACAUUGAGCCUUGAUGUGUAGGAUAGGUGGGAGGCUUUGAAGUGUGGACGCCAGUCUGCAUGGAGCCGACCUUGAAAUACCACCCUUUAAUGUUUGAUGUUCUAACGUUGGCCCGUAAUCCGGGUUGCGGACAGUGUCUGGUGGGUAGUUUGACUGGGGCGGUCUCCUCCUAAAGAGUAACGGAGGAGCACGAAGGUUGGCUAAUCCUGGUCGGACAUCAGGAGGUUAGUGCAAUGGCAUAAGCCAGCUUGACUGCGAGCGUGACGGCGCGAGCAGGUGCGAAAGCAGGUCAUAGUGAUCCGGUGGUUCUGAAUGGAAGGGCCAUCGCUCAACGGAUAAAAGGUACUCCGGGGAUAACAGGCUGAUACCGCCCAAGAGUUCAUAUCGACGGCGGUGUUUGGCACCUCGAUGUCGGCUCAUCACAUCCUGGGGCUGAAGUAGGUCCCAAGGGUAUGGCUGUUCGCCAUUUAAAGUGGUACGCGAGCUGGGUUUAGAACGUCGUGAGACAGUUCGGUCCCUAUCUGCCGUGGGCGCUGGAGAACUGAGGGGGGCUGCUCCUAGUACGAGAGGACCGGAGUGGACGCAUCACUGGUGUUCGGGUUGUCAUGCCAAUGGCACUGCCCGGUAGCUAAAUGCGGAAGAGAUAAGUGCUGAAAGCAUCUAAGCACGAAACUUGCCCCGAGAUGAGUUCUCCCUGACUCCUUGAGAGUCCUGAAGGAACGUUGAAGACGACGACGUUGAUAGGCCGGGUGUGUAAGCGCAGCGAUGCGUUGAGCUAACCGGUACUAAUGAACCGUGAGGCUUAACCUU
This 2762-nucleotide ribosomal RNA is filed under the name Escherichia coli. Its description in RNAcentral is "partial 23S ribosomal RNA". It matches the Rfam family "Bacterial large subunit ribosomal RNA". The record is from RNAcentral. Lineage: Bacteria; Pseudomonadati; Pseudomonadota; Gammaproteobacteria; Enterobacterales; Enterobacteriaceae. RNAcentral also lists the same sequence under 2 other names.